This 505-nucleotide ribosomal RNA is filed under the name uncultured bacterium. RNAcentral's name for it is "partial 16S ribosomal RNA". It matches the Rfam family "Bacterial small subunit ribosomal RNA", at positions 28 to 507 of the family's 1533-position model. The record is from RNAcentral.
GACGAACGCUGGCGGCGUGCCUAGUACAUGCAAGUAGAACGCACAGUUUAUACCGUAGCUUGCUACACCAUAGACUGUGAGUUGCGAACGGGUGAGUAACGCGUAGGUAACCUGCCUGGUAGCGGGGGAUAACUAUUGGAAACGAUAGCUAAUACCGCAUAAUAUUAAUUAUUGCAUGAUAAUUAAUUGAAAGGUGCAAUUGCACCACUACCAGAUGGACCUGCGUUGUAUUAGCUAGUAGGUGAGGUAACGGCUCACCUAGGCGACGAUACAUAGCCGACCUGAGAGGGUGAUCGGCCACACUGGGACUGAGACACGGCCCAGACUCCUACGGGAGGCAGCAGUAGGGAAUCUUCGGCAAUGGACGAAAGUCUGACCGAGCAACGCCGCGUGAGUGAAGAAGGUUGUCGGAUCGUAAAGCUCUGUUGUAAGAGAAGAACGGGUGUGAGAGUGGAAAGUUCACACUGUGACGGUAUCUUACCAGAAAGGGACGGCUAACUACGUG